RNAcentral lists this ribosomal RNA (414 nucleotides) under uncultured microorganism. RNAcentral's name for it is "bacterial SSU rRNA". It matches the Rfam family "Archaeal small subunit ribosomal RNA", at positions 459 to 872 of the family's 1478-position model. The record is from RNAcentral.
CAGCAGCCGCGGUAAUACCGGCGGCCCGAGUGGCGGUCACUAUUAUUGGGCUUAAAGCGUCCGUAGCCGGGUUGGGAAGUCCUCCGGGAAAUCUGGCCGCUUAACGGUCCGAAUGCCGGAGGAUACUCCCAGCCUAGGGAGCGGGAGAGGCCGAGGGGAUUCCCGGGGUAGGGGUGAAAUCCUAUAAUCCCGGGAGGACCACCGGUUGCGAAGGCGCUCGGCUGGAACGCGUCCGACGGUGAGGGACGAAGGCCAGGGGAGCAAACCGGAUUAGAUACCCGGGUAGUCCUGGCUGUAAACGAUGCGGACUUUGUGUCGGACAAGCUAUGAGCUUGUCCGGUGCCGGAGGGAAACCGUUAAGUCCGCCGCCUGGGGAGUACGGCCGCAAGGCUGAAACUUAAAGGAAUUGGCGGG